Molecule: non-coding RNA, 298 nt
Organism: Danio rerio (zebrafish)
Lineage: Eukaryota; Metazoa; Chordata; Actinopteri; Cypriniformes; Danionidae
Source: Ensembl
AAACUACCAUUCCCGCUAGAAAGAGAGAAAGAGGGAGUGUGUGUGUGUGUACGAAUGAGAAGAAAGAGGAAAAGAGAGUUUGGAUAUAGCUGGACUCUAUCUGGACUUUUUCUUCUGCUUCUCUUCGUGUGCUGAUGAAGUGAUGGUGUGAGAUGUUUUUGCGCUCUUGGAGUAAUUGAGAGACUCUCCACCUGAGAGAACAGGGCGGAGACGUAGCAUACCGGGCUCCGCCCCUGACAAAGUCCCACCUACAAUGGAGCCCACAGCCGCCGCUGCUGCAACACCCUUCAGAGUCACU